AUUGAACGCUGGCGGCAUGCUUUACACAUGCAAGUCGAACGGUAACAGGCCGCAAGGUGCUGACGAGUGGCGAACGGGUGAGUAAUGUAUCGGAACGUGCCCAGUCGUGGGGGAUAACGCAGCGAAAGCUGUGCUAAUACCGCAUACGAUCUAUGGAUGAAAGCGGGGGACCGUAAGGCCUCGCGCGAUUGGAGCGGCCGAUAUCAGAUUAGGUAGUUGGUGGGGUAAAGGCUCACCAAGCCAACGAUCUGUAGCUGGUCUGAGAGGACGACCAGCCACACUGGGACUGAGACACGGCCCAGACUCCUACGGGAGGCAGCAGUGGGGAAUUUUGGACAAUGGGCGCAAGCCUGAUCCAGCAAUGCCGCGUGCAGGACGAAGGCCUUCGGGUUGUAAACUGCUUUUGUACGGAGCGAAAAGGCUCUCUCUAAUACAGGGAGUUCAUGACGGUACCGUAAGAAUAAGCACCGGCUAACUACGUGCCAG
Molecule: ribosomal RNA, 486 nt
Filed under: uncultured bacterium
Lineage: Bacteria
Description: bacterial SSU rRNA
Rfam family: Bacterial small subunit ribosomal RNA
Source: RNAcentral